Molecule: ribosomal RNA, 504 nt
Filed under: uncultured bacterium
Lineage: Bacteria
Description: partial 16S ribosomal RNA
Rfam family: Bacterial small subunit ribosomal RNA
Source: RNAcentral
AUUGAACGCUGGCGUCAGGCCUAACACAUGCAAGUCGAACGGUAGCACAGAGAGCUUGCUCUCGGGUGACGAGUGGCGGACGGGUGAGUAAUGUCUGGGAAACUGCCCGAUGGAGGGGGAUAACUACUGGAAACGGUAGCUAGUACCGCAUAACGUCGCAAGACCAAAGUGGGGGACCUUCGGGCCUCACACCAUCGGAUGUGCCCAGAUGGGAUUAGCUAGUAGGUGGGGUAAUGGCUCACCUAGGCGACGAUCCCUAGCUGGUCUGAGAGGAUGACCAGCCACACUGGAACUGAGACACGGUCCAGACUCCUACGGGAGGCAGCAGUGGGGAAUAUUGCACAAUGGGCGCAAGCCUGAUGCAGCCAUGCCGCGUGUAUGAAGAAGGCCUUCGGGUUGUAAAGUACUUUCAGCGGGGAGGAAGGCGGUGAAGUUAAUAGCUUCACCGAUUGACGUUACCCGCAGAAGAAGCACCGGCUAACUCCGUGCCAGCCGCCGCUGUAA